GUCACUUCCGCAGUGGUCACGCCCUGCAGUGUCUUCCCUCAGGACGCUUUUGUGUGCAUUAAGACUUAAGUGAAUCAUGCAAAUUUGUCACUAGUUGCAUUCUGACUAUCUCUUAUUAGAUAAAAUGGAUUCCACGGGUGUUUUAAAAGCAUGUCAUCUUUUCUGGGUUUGUUAGCUGUUUUUUAACUUCCUUUUGAGUAUCUUGCAGUGUAUCUGAAAGCUGUUUUAAGAGAGGCAUUGAAGAUGGCAUGCAAAGGUUUCAUAGUGCUUCCUCUAGUCCAAUUGCGCUGCGUCUCAUCAAUCGAUCCCUGACGUGACUCAUAUUGAAGGCAGAGGUUCUGGCUCACAGGCUACGUCUCUGCGCCUUUGACCAGAAGAUUGCCGGUUCAAGGCCCACCCUUGACAGUCACAUGUCUGCAGGCCCUUGAGCGAGGCCCUUCACCCCCAGCUCAGCGGGCUGCAUGUUGGCUGCCUUGCGCAAUUACCCUUCAAGCUAUGGAGAGCUAGAUGUGAUCAGAGAAAAGACGCAUUCCAGUGUACCUGUGCUUGCAAAUGGCAAAUAAAGCCUGGUUUUGUGUGUUUUUUUUUUUUGUUUUAGAUGUAAUAAAUAUUGAUACUUUAUUAAACUUUUUACUGAAGUUUCAGUGCUACAUCAGCCAGACACAAACAUGGUACAGUGCAGUAAUAAAGUUUAAAAACGUUCAGCGAAGGCUCAACACAUUCAGCACAGAAUUGUGGGAGCGAUCAAGUAAAUAUGUUCAUCCUAUGGACUGAGGUAAUGUGUAAGAUGUGAAAACCAUUGGUUAUUUAUGUGAAUACUUGAAAUACUAAAACACAAUUAAA
Molecule: long non-coding RNA, 843 nt
Organism: Brienomyrus brachyistius
Lineage: Eukaryota; Metazoa; Chordata; Actinopteri; Osteoglossiformes; Mormyridae
Exons: 2
Source: RefSeq, a predicted model, not a curated record